UACAGACCAAGUUGAUAAGAGCUAUUGGUGGAUGCCUUGGCAUUGACAGGCGAAGAAGGACGCGAAUACCUGCGAAAAGCUCCGGCGAGCUGGUGAUAAGCAACGACCCGGAGGUAUCCGAAUGGGGAAACCCGGUAGAGUAAUAGUCUACCAUUGUAUACUGAACACAUAGGUAUACAAAGCGACACCUGCCGAACUGAAACAUCUUAGUAAGCAGAGGAAAAGAAAUCGAAGAGAUUCCCUGUGUAGCGGCGAGCGAAAGGGGAAGAGCCUAAACCGAGCUGAAGAAGCGAGGGGUUGUAGGGUUGAGGAAAAAGGAUCAGGACUCCUAGUUGAACACAUCUGGAAAGGUGGAUGAUACAGGGUGAUAGUCCCGUAGACGAAAGGAGAGAAAGACCGACCUCAAUACCUGAGUAGGACUAGACACGUGAAACCUAGUCUGAAUCUGGGGAGACCACUCUCCAAGGCUAAAUACUAGUCAAUGACCGAUAGUGAACCAGUACUGUGAAGGAAAGGCGAAAAGAACCCUUGUUAAGGGAGUGAAAUAGAACCUGAAACCAAUAGCUUACAAGCGGUCGGAGACCUAUGGCCCGUAAGGGUUAAGGUUGACGGCGUGCCUUUUGCAUGAUGAGCCAGGAGUUAAGCUAAACGGCGAGGUUAAGGGAUGUACAUUCCGGAGCCGAAGCGAAAGCGAGUUUUAAAAGAGCGUUUAGUCGUUUGGUUUAGACACGAAACCAAGUGAGCUAUUUAUGACCAGGUUGAAGCAUGGGUAAAACUAUGUGGAGGACCGAACUAGUACCUGUUGAAAAAGGUUUGGAUGAGUUGUGAAUAGGGGUGAAAG
Molecule: ribosomal RNA, 841 nt
Filed under: Chlamydia suis
Lineage: Bacteria; Pseudomonadati; Chlamydiota; Chlamydiia; Chlamydiales; Chlamydiaceae
Description: bacterial LSU rRNA
Rfam family: Bacterial large subunit ribosomal RNA
Source: RNAcentral